This 253-nucleotide ribosomal RNA is filed under the name uncultured bacterium. RNAcentral's name for it is "partial 16S ribosomal RNA". It matches the Rfam family "Bacterial small subunit ribosomal RNA", at positions 524 to 776 of the family's 1533-position model. The record is from RNAcentral.
UACGGGGGGGGCAAGCGUUGUUCGGAAUUACUGGGCGUAAAGGGCUAGUAGGCGGCCAACUAAGUCGGAUGUGAAAUCCCCAGGCUCAACCUGGGAACUGCAUCCGAUACUGGAUGGCUUGAAUCCGGGAGAGGGAUGCAGAAUUCCAGGUGUAGCGGUGAAAUGCGUAGAUAUCAGGAGGAACACCCGUGGCGAAGGCGGAUCUCUGGACCGGUUCUGACGCUGAGGAGCGAAAGCUGGGGGAGCAAACAGG